UGCAGUCGAGCGGACAGAAGGGAGCUUGCUCCCGGAUGUUAGCGGCGGACGGGUGAGUAACACGUGGGUAACCUGCCUGUAAGACUGGGAUAACUCCGGGAAACCGGAGCUAAUACCGGAUAGUUCCUUGAACCGCAUGGUUCAAGGAUGAAAGACGGUUUCGGCUGUCACUUACAGAUGGACCCGCGGCGCAUUAGCUAGUUGGUGAGGUAACGGCUCACCAAGGCGACGAUGCGUAGCCGACCUGAGAGGGUGAUCGGCCACACUGGGACUGAGACACGGCCCAGACUCCUACGGGAGGCAGCAGUAGGGAAUCUUCCGCAAUGGACGAAAGUCUGACGGAGCAACGCCGCGUGAGUGAUGAAGGUUUUCGGAUCGUAAAGCUCUGUUGUUAGGGAAGAACAAGUGCAAGAGUAACUGCUUGCACCUUGACGGUACCUAACCAGAAAGCCACGGCUAACUACGUGCCAGCAGCCGCGGUAAUACGUAGGUGGCAAGCGUUGUCCGGAAUUAUUGGGCGUAAAGGGCUCGCAGGCGGUUUCUUAAGUCUGAUGUGAAAGCCCCCGGCUCAACCGGGGAGGGUCAUUGGAAACUGGGAAACUUGAGUGCAGAAGAGGAGAGUGGAAUUCCACGUGUAGCGGUGAAAUGCGUAGAGAUGUGGAGGAACACCAGUGGCGAAGGCGACUCUCUGGUCUGUAACUGACGCUGAGGAGCGAAAGCGUGGGGAGCGAACAGGAUUAGAUACCCUGGUAGUCCACGCCGUAAACGAUGAGUGCUAAGUGUUA
This 785-nucleotide ribosomal RNA is filed under the name Bacillus altitudinis. RNAcentral's name for it is "bacterial SSU rRNA". It matches the Rfam family "Bacterial small subunit ribosomal RNA", at positions 56 to 825 of the family's 1533-position model. The record is from RNAcentral. Lineage: Bacteria; Bacillati; Bacillota; Bacilli; Caryophanales; Bacillaceae.